Molecule: ribosomal RNA, 391 nt
Filed under: uncultured soil bacterium
Lineage: Bacteria
Description: bacterial SSU rRNA
Rfam family: Bacterial small subunit ribosomal RNA
Source: RNAcentral
AGAUUGAACGCUGGCGGCAUGCCUUACACAUGCAAGUCGAACGGUAGAGUAGCAAUACUUGAGAGUGGCGAACGGGUGAGUAAUAUAUCGGAACGUGCCCAGUCGUGGGGGAUAACGUAGAGAAAUUUACGCUAAUACCGCAUACGAUCUAAGGAUGAAAGCGGGGGACCGUAAGGCCUCGCGCGAUUGGAGCGGCUGAUAUCAGAUUAGGUUGUUGGUGAGGUAAAAGCUCACCAAGCCGACGAUCUGUAGCUGGUUUGAGAGAACGACCAGCCACACUGGGACUGAGACACGGCCCAGACUCCUACGGGAGGCAGCAGUGGGGAAUUUUGGACAAUGGGGCGAAAAGCCUGAUCCAGCAAUGCCGCGUGCAGGAAAGAAGGCCUCGGUU